GAAGGUACAUGAGCAGAUCCUCAGCAUUGAGAAAAGAUAUUCCCUUGGACUGCAGAUAACAAAGCAGAGGAAAAAAAGAUACUGUGAGUCUGAACAUGGGAAAUAUGAAGUAACACAUACACACACACAGAAGUAAGUAAGGUGUUAUUCUCUAUACAGCCGUUUUUAGCACUGAGGCUUUAUUACAAGAGAGAAGACAAAAGAUGCCCAAAUUCCUUAAGAGGUCAGCUGAUUCACGACCAAUCUCUAGGACUGCUCAAGAAAAUAAGGAAAACAUCUCUAAACAAAGAAAAUUCAGUGAAACCCAGCCUUGGACAUGCUAAAUAACAGCACUGCCUGGAGAUAAGAAGGUAUUGGGUAGAAAUGAGAAAGACCAUAAUUCCUAGGCUUUAUUUCCCCGGGGUCCCAAACUUUGAAGUGUACUUUAACUAAACCUCAGAUCGCUCUCAGAUGUUUUCUCUCAAGAAAGAGCACGGGUUAAAGGAGAAUGGGCAAACAUAAACAAGUUGUAUGUCACACAUAAAUAACAAGUGGCAGUCCUGAAGGAACGGCUGUGGAUUUCAAGAUGUGGGCUCAUGCAGGAUAUGAGUAAUUCCCAGAGACUUCCCACUAACUUUCAGUGGUCUCCCACUGACGUUACUGGUAUCCUGUGGCAAGAGAAUAGGACCAAUAUUUUUAGAAGUGUGUGCUGGCUGUUCUCUGGAGUCCUUGCAGUGCCGGGGUAUUUUUAGUGGUUCAUUAUAUGGAUUGGAGGAGUCUUUGCGUUGUGUUGUGUCACACGCAGCGUGUGAACUUCCUGUCCCUGCUCCUCUGUGCCUUUGAUCCUGCCCAUCCAGCCACCACAGCAGGAGAGCUGACACAUCAGCCAUGGCCAUUUCUUCGUUACUAGGACUUCCAGCUAUGUGGAAAGCUCUCACCAGAGCAGCAGAGCUGCCCAUGGGAAUGUGCCAUGGUUUAUGGCAACAGGAGCCAUCAAAGUGGUCAUCACUUUGGCUUGGAACACUCAUAGCUGGAAGGAGGUAUUUGCUUGCUUUCUCAGUUGCUUUCUGUUUUAUUAAAUGAACCCAAAUACCAGGAAAAUUACCUGUAUAUUGGUACCUAUCUAGGAAGAAUAAAUAAUCAAAGGGAGUUGUAUAAUAAAGUCUG
Parus major (Great Tit) is the source of this 1146-nucleotide long non-coding RNA. The record is from Ensembl. NCBI's taxonomy places the organism in Eukaryota, Metazoa, Chordata, Aves, Passeriformes, Paridae.